RNAcentral lists this ribosomal RNA (277 nucleotides) under Bacillus thuringiensis F14-1. RNAcentral describes it as "partial 16S ribosomal RNA". It matches the Rfam family "Bacterial small subunit ribosomal RNA", at positions 1 to 265 of the family's 1533-position model. The record is from RNAcentral. Lineage: Bacteria; Bacillati; Bacillota; Bacilli; Caryophanales; Bacillaceae.
UUUAUUGGAGAGUUUGAUCCUGGCUCAGGAUGAACGCUGGCGGCGUGCCUAAUACAUGCAAGUCGAGCGAAUGGAUUGAGAGCUUGCUCUUAUGAAGUUAGCGGCGGACGGGKGAGUAACACGUGGGUAACCUGCCCAUAAGACUGGGAUAACUCCGGGAAACCGGGGCUAAUACCGGAUAACAUUUUGAACCGCAUGGUUCGAAAUUGAAAGGCGGCUUCGGCUGUCACUUAUGGAUGGACCCGCGUCGCAUUAGCUAGUUGGUGAGGUAACGGCU